AGGACGAACGCUGGCGGCGUGCUUAACACAUGCAAGUCGAGCGGUAAGGCUCCUUCGGGAGUACACGAGCGGCGAACGGGUGAGUAACACGUGAGCAAUCUGCCCUUCACUUUGGGAUAACUUCCGGAAACGGAAGCUAAUACCGAAUACGACCAUCACAGACAUCUAUUGAUGGUGGAAAGUUCCGGCGGUGAAGGAUGAGCUCGCGGCCUAUCAGCUUGUUGGUGAGGUAACGGCCCACCAAGGCGACGACGGGUAGCCGGCCUGAGAGGGUGACCGGCCACACUGGGAUUGAGACACGGCCCAGACUCCUACGGGAGGCAGCAGUGGGGAAUAUUGGACAAUGGGCGAAAGCCUGAUCCAGCAACGCCGCGUGAGGGAUGACGGCCUUCGGGUUGUAAACCUCUUUCAGCAGGGACGAAGCGAAAGUGACGGUACCUGCAGAAGAAGCACCGGCCAACUACGUGCCAGCAGCCGC
This 478-nucleotide ribosomal RNA is filed under the name uncultured bacterium. Its description in RNAcentral is "SSU rRNA". It matches the Rfam family "Bacterial small subunit ribosomal RNA", at positions 26 to 518 of the family's 1533-position model. The record is from RNAcentral.